CGAAAGCUCCCUAAUAUAUACGGCGGCGCCCCGCGCAUGCCACAACCGCCUCUCUCGUCCUCCCCUCCCCCGUGCGAAUGCGUCUCCUCCCUCGGCCGGCCGCUCGUCCGCUCGCUCUCCCCCGCACGAAUCUCCAGGUGAUGGCGGCGCGCCGCUGCCACUGACGUCGCCAGCGGUGGCGGCGGCGAGCGCGCGAUCGCGGGCGAUGGCCGCCGAGGCCAGCAUGGAGCGCGCGCGCGACGGCCGGCGCCACGAGCACCAGCAGAAGCAGCAGCGGCGCAGCCACCGGCGGUCGGCUUCGGCGUCCGUGACCUCGUCCACGAGGCAGUGGGCAUCAGGGUCGGCGUCUGCGUCGGCGUCAGCGUCUCCGUCCCAGGCGGCGGCGGCGGCGGCGCAGGAGUCGGAGCGGCGGCUGCGGCGGUCCCCGCCCGUGGAGGCGCGGCGGGAGCGCGAGCGGCGUCGGGCGCGCGAGCAGCCGCGGUGCGGGGAGGUGGCGGGCGGGACGGCGGCGGAGUGCGCCGCGGUGUGCUGCUGCUUCCCCUGCGCGGUGGUGGAGCUGGUGGUGCUGGCGGCCGUGCGCGUGCCCGCCGCGCUGUGCCGCCGCGCGCUGCGCGCCCGCGCGCGCCGCAGGCGCGCGGCCAAGAAGAAGAAGGAGGAGGCGGAGCUCCUCGGCGCCUCGGGCGCUGCCGCGUCCGCCUCCCCGACCGCGGCGGCGGCCCGGGACCGCAACGGCGACGCCCUCGACUUCUGCCACUGGCCCGCGCGGGCGGAGGCCGGGCGCGACGAGCUCGCCGAGGCGGAGGCGAAGGUCUGGGCCAGCUUCCAGGGCGCCGGCUUCUGGCGCAGCCCGUCGCAGCGCGAGGAGAGGAGGUGCUAGCUCCUGAUCGACCGCCGCCGCCACAUCUCUCCGUGCCGGUUUCUUGGACCCGAUCCCGAUCCGUCGCAUGCCGCAUACAAUCCUCAUAGGGAAAAGAUGAACGAACUCCAGCGAUUGGUUGAUCGAUCGGCUGCAGAUUGCUGCGACGGCGACGACCGGUUUCAUUGAUUGCUCGCGUUUUUUCCUUUUUCCGAAAUAUUUUCUUGCAUUGGGUGGGAGGAGGGAAGGAACUGUAUCUUCUUUCAUUGUUGUUCUUGAUCGUUCGUGCGUCUUUCAGAUACUGUUGUUCUGACGUGCAUGUGGUGGACACGGUCGGCCAACCUUGUCUCCUACUAUUCAUCAUGCACUAGGGCUGGCUGUGACGAUGUUCUAGCUAAGUAGUAGGAGCAGCUAUACCCCUACGUCCCAGCUGGUUUAUGUCAUGGAGAGACAUGGACGAUUGACCUGGCCUUGAGAAUUCUAAUGACAAGUAGACGCAUAGGAACUAAAAAACGUGUUCUGAUUUCAUGCUUUAUUUAGGGUUACAUGCAGAGAUCGAUUAUUUAUUGGUCAAAUGAAAAGAAGUCAUUUAUU
This 1450-nucleotide unclassified non-coding RNA is filed under the name Zea mays. RNAcentral's name for it is "misc RNA Zm00001eb032120". The record is from RNAcentral. Lineage: Eukaryota; Viridiplantae; Streptophyta; Magnoliopsida; Poales; Poaceae.